This is a non-coding RNA of Taeniopygia guttata (zebra finch), 4845 nucleotides long. Lineage: Eukaryota; Metazoa; Chordata; Aves; Passeriformes; Estrildidae. The record is from RefSeq and is a predicted model, not a curated record.
CUAUUAAAAAAUAAAUACCAUUCUUGCCAAAAUUCAGAAUUACAUUCCUCCUUACUUCAUUGUUUGAAUACAAAUGGUUUUCAUGUAGCAUUAGAGACUUCAGUAGGUGAACAUCUAUAUGCUUAUAUAAACUUGAAAAGGUAUAUAAAUGUUUAUUCCAGCUAUGUUUCUAAGUAGAUUUUUCAAGGCAAGAAAACUGGAUAGAAUCGUAUCCUAGACAGAAUUCACAAUGGAGAAAAGUUUGUUUCAAACUCAGCUCUUUAAUUAAAUUGUCCAAACAAAUGGCAACUCAAAAACCAGUCAUUACAAUAACUACAGCAGGGAGAAAGUGUUCUGUUGCCUAGAGAUUAUUUCAAAUGUUGAUUCCUCAGGAAGAUUACUCUGUGAUACAUUUAAUAUACUCUCAAAUAUAAAAUUUGGUUAAAAUUUUGCUUAUCUCAUUGAAAGAUUAUUCAUCUGUUUUCCCUUUGCUCAGAAGUAAUACUUUACUGGGCUGACUUAGAUCCCAUUUUUGCAAGUUGUUAUGUAGGUGGGAAAUACUUGCUCAGGUAAGCAAUGUUUUUUGAUUUAAAUGGAAAUAGCUUGCUUGGGUAAAUGACUGCAUGGUUAGACCAAUUGCUUCUCGAUUUCCUUAGUCUUUUAUUCUGUCUGCAAAUUGUCAACAUGCAUCUGUUAACUCUGAGAUGAUUAUAGAAAGAAAAAAGUUUCAUUCUUCAAACUUGCUGACACAGAUUUUUUCUGAUAGGCCAUCCUCUGGUUCAAUGCAAUUUCCAAAUUUAUGAAAAUUCAGUAUCAAAUGCUAAGGGUCUAAGUCUUUACUGAAAGGAAAAGAAAAAUUUGUAAGUCUCUGAUAAUGGCUUAACAAAUGUGAGAAGGACUUUCUUUUACUUAAUCUGUGCACCUUGAAUUUAAAAUAUUUUCAGUUUUCCCUCCUGUCCUCUUAGUCUUUCUGGAUUGUUUUAGGUGAUCAGACUUUGCUAGGGCUACAUAAGUAGUGAUGACAUCAGAAAAUGCUUCAAAGAUAACCCUAAGCCCUAUAGAACACGUUGAUGUGAGCAGGAAUAAGAUGGCCUGGUUAAAUAGGUAAAAUUAUUGGGGAAAGGAUCUCCUGAAAAAUAGUGACAGUGGGAUGUCAAGAUGACAGCUUGAAAGAUGGGGCCUGGAAGUAGCUCUGUGAAUCAGAAACUUCUUUGAAAAGAAUAUCUGGAAACUGUGUGAAAGACAACUGUGGGAAUCUGGAUGCCAAAGGCACCCAGAGAUACCACCAAGAGGUGCAUAAACAAGGAACUGCAACAACAAUUCAUCUUCUGAGCAAGUGGCAAAUAGUCUGGAAAAAUCAAAUUGCUCUGAAAUAAAAGGAAACAUAAUCAUCUGUUGGCUCUUACAGGUGAAAAAUCAGAAAUUAGCAGCAUCUAUUGACUGCUCAAAGUGGUGCAUCCUACUCCCUCUUGUGUUAUAGAAAAGACUCCAUUUUUAUCUCAAAUGGAGCCUCUUUUUUGGAGAACAUCCCAUGCUGUACAUAACCUUUCCUAAACAGGAUGAAUUCUCCUCAGGGGCUUUCUGGGAGAGUUUGGACUCUACCCAGACUUUGUGACAUGGACCACCUCAGAAGGGAGGUGGUGAUCUCUAUACACCCCCAGACUGGAUUACAUUUUAAGUCCUGAAAUCUGUGCCUGUCAGAUGCAAAUUAGUGAUUUUUUUCUUUCUAAAACCAAGUAUAUUUAAAGGAAUAAGAGGUCUUUGUGUGUGUGUGUGUGAAGAAAAAUCUUAAAAAUGUGAUGAAUUUAUUUUCUCCAUUAGCAAGCUGUUUCCUUCUGUUGCUUUUAAAAUACAUAAAAGAAAGUACAGGAAGUUCGUUAAUAGCAUUAUAUGACUUCAACUUAUAAAGAUAUAAGAUAUAUUCUAGAUGUAAUUUUGUAGUAUUGGGAAUGAAACUAGUGGUGAAACAUUUAGCAAACACUACUUUUCAGAACUUGUUCUUGGGAGAUUAAUUUUCUUUUCCAUUACACUUGAACUGUGUCCUAUUCUAAUAUUUUCAAAGCUAAUGAUUUCUUUAACCUAUGAGAGGAAACCAGUAGUAACUGUAAACCUACUUUUGUGACUAUUUUCCCUUCCCUUUAAUUGAUUUAUUCUAAUCUCCAUUUUUAUGCAAAGAAAAACUGAAAUUACCUGUAAGUCUCCAUCAAUAUCCAUGUUAGUAUUAAUACGUUUUUUUCAGUCUAGAACUGAAAUACCCACUGUGACUGCAACCUGCUUAGUCUACUUAAUUUUGAUUUGCUUCACUUUCUGCUUUUUCCUUUUUUUCAGGCUUCUGUGGACACAUCUUCAGCUAGAACCUUCUUAUAAUAAUUUCCAAAUUUUUAUUUUAGGUAAAUAACUGGGGAACCAUAAGUAAUGUCAACUAUGACUCUGAUUUGAUGAGGAGAGUGUAUUUUGCUAGAAACUUCUGAGUGAUGUUUUCAGAUACUAAUGAAAAUCAGAACAAGGAUGCCUCUUUCCUUGUAUGUAAUGAGGCGCUACCUUAUCACCAGCCCUGUCAUGCAGAUGUAAGUCAUGGAAUCAUUCUUUCUUCCAUCUAUAAGGGAAUGGACCAGCCAGCUCUCUAUCCAUAGAAUCACAUCAAUCUGAACAUCUGAGCUGACAAGGAAGAGGUCAAGAAGCACUGGGAUUCAUAAUGGUGCGAACUGGAAGCGGCUUUUGUAUACUGGGAUAAAAUUAUAGCUUGUGGGUAGUCUUUUCAGAGUUUUUCAAAUCCUGUGGGCUCUGGGUUGCUGCCAGCUGUUCCAGAAACAAUAUCCCAUUCCACACGUUCUUAGAACAAGGUGUUAGUUCACAGCACCAGUGAUUGUAGUGGGCAAAUUAGACAUUGCAUCCAUGGAAUUGUUCCUAAAAAAGAAAUGUACCUGAGCAAAGAGGCAUUUAUGUCAACACUACACCUGUUUGGGGAACAAUGGCCUAGGAAAAAACAUUUCUGAAAUGAAACCCUGCAUGGCAGAAAUAGGAAAGGUUCAAUCAGGUCCUCAAAUUCCAGUGCUGAAUUUUUGAAAACUGAAGACUGAUCUGAGCUUGCAGACACGCACACGGCUGCAUCUGUGCACACAAAUCUGGUAUUUAUAUAAGACAUCAUUCCAUAUGUGCAUGUCUUUAGGAGGCAGAAGUCAGUCUGCAAGAAUAUAUUCCUUAAAACCAUUUUACAAUAUAUAUAUUCAAUGUAUUCAAUAUAUUCCAUUCCAACCAUUUACAAUAUAUGUAUUCAAUAUAUAUGUAUACAAUAUAUUCCAGCUUCUUGGAAAGAAUGAUGAUUUCCAAUAUUUUUUUAAGCUAAACAUUUGCUUAAGAUCCUUUGCUAAAACGGUCUUUAAAAAAUUUUGUAUUGAGAUUGUCACUGUGACUAGAUUCUGAUUUAACUCCAAAACCAGACUGCAAAGUAAUAGUUUGAGAAGAUGAACUUUGUAAUCUGACAAUGCAGAAAAGAAAAAAAGAAAUUAUACUGUCACUUCUAAAAUGGAAAAUUGUAAUUGUUUCACUGUGUUUAUUACAAAUAUAUGUUUAAUGGCAUGCCUGGAUUCAUGACAGUUUUCAGAUAUCUUUGCUGUCAUCAUGUCUUGUAAUGGCCAGAAUAUUUCCUGCCAUAUUGUAUCUUUAAUUUCAAUGGCAAUCACUGCUGACUGUGCUUCCUUUUCUUUCCAGAAAAUUAUGUCUGCAAAGUACUGUGAGUUUUACACUUGAUUAAAAAGGCAGGGGCUUUCUGUACUAUCAUCAUAAUUAGCCAGAUGACCAGAAAUGGCUCCCAGUAGGGGUUGAAGAGUUGUUCCAGUUCAGUCCUUGGAGCUUUUCAGUUUAAUUUUAGCUAUAAGCUAUAUAAAUAUAAGCUAUAAAAUAUUUUUUUAGGUAGGAACUCUUGCUGGUGUAUCUUAACAUCUCUUUAAGAGAUUAGGCUAUGGUUUUUGAGCUCAUCAUUGGCCUGUGUAAAUAUUUCUGGGCUCCUUUUGGGUCUUAGUCAUGCAUCCUAUCUGGAAAAGCCAGUGCUGGAAACCAGAGGAAGAUGAUAUUUCUGUCUGAAUCUCUUAUAUGAGGAUAAAGUUUUCUGUCUUUUAUCAGUUCAUACUAUUUUUUAUGUAAUACUCAAUUUAUGAGAAAUGCUUUUAAUAUUUCUGAAAAACAGACAUAGAAAUUGCAAUUGCUAUACAUUCUACCUAUUCAAAUUUCUGUUCCCAUUGUAUCCAAGCUGAUCCAGCUAAAUAAAAAAUCGGUAAGAUCCAAUACUCUGAACUUCUUUUUUUGCCUGAGUAUGCUAACAGCAGAAAUGACUGCCUUUUGUAUCAUAAUGGCUCUUGUAGCUCGGUUGGUAAAGAACAUGUGUGAGCAUGGCCAUGUAAACGUGACUUGUUAUUUAACUCUUGAACUAAAAUGCCAUCAACAGCUACAGAGGUUGCACCAGGUGAAACAGCAAAGCAGAGCACCAGGUAGGACAUGAUCCAUGGCAUGUGUCUUACAUGACAACAGGGAUCUACAUCCAGGAGGCUUUUUGAGAAAGCAAAUUGCUGGUGGAAUGUGCUGUCUUGUGCUAUUGCCAACCCUCCUCUUUCCUCAAUAUAGUAAUAAAUGCUUGGGUUUUUUUUCAGGCAGGGCUGUGCUGGCUGUGCUCCUGUUAAUGCUGCUUAGGGUGCUGGAGGCCUUUUUGGCUGCCAGGGCAUGCUGCUGGCUCAUGCUGAGCUUGCUGCUUACCAAUUCCCUGACGUCCCUUUUUCUAUCCUUUUUUAGCUUUUUAGGUGCCAUGAUUUAGAGUAAAUUCUGUCCAAAACAUUUAAAGGAGCAUAAGGCUGUGCUGUUAAAAGGAAUCAG